Molecule: unclassified non-coding RNA, 569 nt
Filed under: Hevea brasiliensis (rubber tree)
Lineage: Eukaryota; Viridiplantae; Streptophyta; Magnoliopsida; Malpighiales; Euphorbiaceae
Source: RNAcentral
AAAAAAGUUAGCAGUUACUUCCUUCAACAAGUAAAAAGUAAAAGGAAAAUGGACAAUAAAAAAACAUAAAUUAGUUCAAAGCGAUCUAUGCAUUUCAUAAAGCCUUGUAAUUGUCAUCAGGGGUAAAUAUCAAGUGGUCAUUGUUAUUGUGCACAAUUUUUUUUUUCAGAGUAGACCGUAUGCGUUUUUGGUAUUUGGUGAAGUGCAGCAGUGGAAGGACUCACUGAUAGUUGAUCCUGCAACUUCCUGUGAAGUAGCAUAUAGUUAUGUUUUAACCUAGAACUUUAGUCACAAAUGGGUUUAUUUUAACUUGUUAAAUGUUUGUGUAAAAAUUAAUGCGAGACACAUUAAGUUUAAAAUAAAUCUCCUGGUACUGGUAUUAAAAUGUGCAAUUAUUAUCAAUUGUAUGUGGGCAAAUAUAUGGUUCAUAUUUUGUUAGAAGGUGAUAACCAUGCUUUGUUUAAUUUGCAUUUACAUUUGUUGCUGGGUUUCUUGUUUUAGAAUAAAGUUUCCUUGAGUUUUAAGGUGCUGAUGUUUAACUUUUAUAGGUUUAUCCUGCUUGGAAAUGG